RNAcentral lists this ribosomal RNA (403 nucleotides) under uncultured bacterium. Its description in RNAcentral is "partial 16S ribosomal RNA". It matches the Rfam family "Bacterial small subunit ribosomal RNA", at positions 29 to 526 of the family's 1533-position model. The record is from RNAcentral.
AUUGAACGCUGGCGGCAGGCCUAACACAUGGAAGGCGAGCGAGCGGCGGACGGGUGAGUAAGGUAGGGGGACUGACCGAUAGAGGGGGACAACUACUGGAUAAGGGGGCGAAUACCGCAUACUGUCGGAUAACCAUGAUGGGAAAAGCUAGUAGGUAAGGGAAUGGCUUACCUAGGCGACGAUCCCAAGCUGGUCUGAGAGGAUGCUCAGCCACCCUGUGACUGGUACACGGCCCAGACUCCUACGGAGGCAGCAGUUGGGAAAAUUGCACAAUGGGCGCAAGCCUGAUGCAGCCAUGCCACGUGUAUGAAGAAGGCCCUAGGGUUGUAAAGUACUUUCAGUCGGGAGGCGUUACCGACAGAAGAAGCACCGGCUAACUCCGUGCCAGCAGCCGCGGUAAUAC